GCGGGCGUGAUGGAAUGGUAGACAUAUGGCACUUAAAAUGCUUGGGGCGAAAGCCCGUGCCGGUUCGAGUCCGGCCGCCCGCA
The sequence is a transfer RNA, 83 nucleotides long. It matches the Rfam family "tRNA". Rfam says of the family: Transfer RNA (tRNA) molecules are approximately 80 nucleotides in length. Their secondary structure includes four short double-helical elements and three loops (D, anti-codon, and T loops). The record is from Rfam.